CCUACGGGAGGCAGCAGUGAGGAAUAUUGGUCAAUGGGCGAGAGCCUGAACCAGCCAAGUCGCGUGAGGGAGUACUGCCCUAUGGGUUGUAAACCUCUUUUGUCGGGGAGCAAAAGCCGGACGUUUCCGGCUGUGAGAGUACCCGAAGAAAAAGGAUCGGCUAACGCCGUGCCAGCAGCCGCGGUAAUACGGAGGAUGCGAGCGUUAUCCGGAUUUAUUGGGUUUAAAGGGGGCGCAGGCGGAUGUUUAAGUCAGCGGUAAAAUCGUGGGGCUCAACCCCAUCGAGCCGUUGAAACUGGGGAUCUAGAGUGUGCGAGAGGUAUGCGGAAUGCGUGGUGUAGCGGUGAAAUGCAUAGAUAUCACGCAGAACCCCGAUUGCGAAGGCAGCAUACCGGUGCACAACUGACGCUCAGGCACGAAAGCGUGGGUAUCGAACAGGAUUAGAUACCCGGGUAGUC
This 458-nucleotide ribosomal RNA is filed under the name uncultured bacterium. RNAcentral's name for it is "partial 16S ribosomal RNA". It matches the Rfam family "Bacterial small subunit ribosomal RNA", at positions 338 to 795 of the family's 1533-position model. The record is from RNAcentral.